GACGAACGCUGGCGGCGUGCUUAACACAUGCAAGUCGAACGGUAAGGCCCUUCGGGGUACACGAGUGGCGAACGGGUGAGUAACACGUGGGUGAUCUGCCCUGCACUUCGGGAUAAGCCUGGGAAACUGGGUCUAAUACCGGAUAGGACUCCUGGCUUCAUGGUUGGGGGUGGAAAGCUUUUGCGGUGUGGGAUGGGCCCGCGGCCUAUCAGCUUGUUGGUGGGGUAAUGGCCUACCAAGGCGACGACGGGUAGCCGGCCUGGGAGGGUGACCGGCCACACUGGGACUGAGAGAGUGCCCAGAGUCCUACGGGAGGCAGCAGGGGGGAAUAUUGCACAAUGGGCGCAAGCCUGAUGCAGCGACGCCGCGUGAGGGAUGACGGCCUUCGGGUUGUAAACCUCUUGCAGCACCGACGAAGCGCAAGUGACGGUAGGUGCAGAAGAAGGACCGGCCAACUACGUGCCAGCCGCCGCCGUAA
Molecule: ribosomal RNA, 478 nt
Filed under: uncultured bacterium
Lineage: Bacteria
Description: partial 16S ribosomal RNA
Rfam family: Bacterial small subunit ribosomal RNA
Source: RNAcentral